This 305-nucleotide ribosomal RNA is filed under the name uncultured bacterium. RNAcentral describes it as "bacterial SSU rRNA". It matches the Rfam family "Bacterial small subunit ribosomal RNA", at positions 335 to 657 of the family's 1533-position model. The record is from RNAcentral.
GACCCUACGGGACGCAGCAGAGGGGAAUAUUGCACAAUGGGGGAAACCCUGAUGCAGCAACGCCGCGUGAGUGAUGACGGCCUUCGGGUUGUAAAGCUCUGUCUUCAGGGACGAUAAUGACGGUACCUGAGGAGGAAGACACGGCUAACUACGUGCCAGCAGCCGCGGUAAUACGUAGGUGGCGAGCGUUGUCCGGAUUUACUGGGCGUAAAGGGAGCGUAGGCGGACUUUUAAGUGAGAUGUGAAAUACUCGGGCUCAACUUGAGUGCUGCAUUUCAACCUGGAAGACUAGCGUGCAGGAGAGG